This 497-nucleotide ribosomal RNA is filed under the name uncultured bacterium. Its description in RNAcentral is "partial 16S ribosomal RNA". It matches the Rfam family "Bacterial small subunit ribosomal RNA", at positions 28 to 507 of the family's 1533-position model. The record is from RNAcentral.
GAUGAACGCUGGCGGCGUGCCUAAUACAUGCAAGUCGAGCGAACAGAUGAGGAGCUUGCUCCUCAGACGUUAGCGGCGGACGGGUGAGUAACACGUGGAUAACCUACCUAUAAGACUGGGAUACCUUCGGGAAACCGGAGCUAAUACCGGAUAAUAUAUUGAACCGCAUGGUUCAAUAGUGAAAGACGGUUUUGCUUUCACUUAUAGAUGGAUCCGCGCCGCAUUAGCUAGUUGGUAAGGUAACGGCUUACCAAGGCAACGAUGCGUAGCCGACCUGAGAGGGUGAUCGGCCACACGGGAACGGAGACACGGUCCAGACUCCUACGGGAGGCAGCAGUAGGGAAUCUUCCGCAAUGAGCGAAAGCCUGACGGAGCAACGCCGCGUGAGUGAUGAGGGUCUUCGGAUCGUAAAACUCUGUUAUUAGGGAAGAACAAAUGUGUAAGUAACUAUGCACGUCUUGACGGUACCUAAUCAGAAAGCCACGGCUAACUACGUG